Molecule: long non-coding RNA, 943 nt
Filed under: Aotus nancymaae (Ma's night monkey)
Lineage: Eukaryota; Metazoa; Chordata; Mammalia; Primates; Aotidae
Description: lncRNA (ENSANAG00000039268.1)
Source: RNAcentral
GGAGAAAAUUUUUGCAAUCUCUCCUUCCAAUGAAGGACUUCUGUAUUUUUAAUGUAAAAUAUUUCCUACAGUAUAUGUUAUGGUAUUAUCAUUAUUUAAGAAUAUGUUAGACAAAUCCAUUCUAUUCCUUCCUUUUAGGCAGCAUACCUGGUUAUUAGGAGAUGUUUCCAGAUGAGACCAUGAAUCGAAAAAAAUUUGAGUCUCUGUCCAAGUUGAACUGCUUACAUCUGGUCAGAAUAACACCUGAAAUGAUCAGACAGAUAUUCCCCUCUUCAGACUCCAUGGCUUAGCACUAAAGCACAGUCGGAAAAACAUGGUCAAAUUUGGUUCACAGCACCUGCCCAGGACCUACUUUCUUCCUUACCUAUGCUACCCAGAGGCGAAACAGCAAAUCAGCACCAGACAGCCACCUAGCUUCAAGUUUCCAGUGCAAUGAAAGCUUCAAGCAUGUGGAGAGCAAAACAACAGGACAUCUCACCCAAAGAGAUCAACCUCUGCAGAAGGCAAAGGUUUCCAAAAUAGGCAACCUUCUACCUGGAUCAAUUUCCACAGUAGGCGAUGGAGCCAAUGAAGUCAUGGAGAAGUUAGUUUCCACCCAGUUAUUCCUCUCCUGGCUCCAUCUUUGCUUCAAAAUUUCUUAUUGAAAAUGAGUCCUAGCUGAGCAUAGAGAAAGCACGUCAAAGCAGAUUCUGUCUGUAUUAAGACCUAUACACACUGCUAGUAAGAUUCCACUAUUUAGUGGGACGCAUACCUCUGUCACUUAAAGAUGUGUGACUUGAGCAAAUCACUAAAUCUCCAUUUUGCCAUCUGUAAAAUGGGUAAAAUAUUACUUGUCUACACACCUUGCAGGAUUUGGGAGAGAAACAAAAAAAAAAAUGAAGUUUGUAAAAGUAAUCUGGAAUGAUAAAAAUCAAACAAAAAUAAAAUAAAAUCAUUUUUCUCU